CAAUAGCGUAUAUUAAAGCUGUUGCGGUUAAAAAGCUCGUAGUUGGAUUUCUGACAAGGACAACUGGUCCGCCCCUCGGGUGAGCACAUAGUUUGGUCUUGGCAUCUUGUUGGAAACUGUUGCUGCACUUGGUUGUGUGGCGCAGUGUCCAGCACUUUCACUUUGAGGAAAUUGGAGUGUUUCAAGCAGGCACAUGCCUUUGGACACAGUAGCAUGGAAUAAUUAGAUUGGGCUUUUGCUCCAACUUGUCGGUUUCUGGAGCUGAGGUGAGAAUUAAUGGGGAUUGUUGGGGGCAUCCGAAUUUAGCCGUCAGAGGUGAAAUUCUUGGAUCUGCUAAAGACGGACAACUGCGAAAGCGUUUGCCCAGGAUGUUUUCAUUGA
Molecule: ribosomal RNA, 381 nt
Filed under: uncultured eukaryote
Lineage: Eukaryota
Description: partial 18S ribosomal RNA
Rfam family: Eukaryotic small subunit ribosomal RNA
Source: RNAcentral